UACGGGGGGGGCAAGCGUUGUUCGGAAUUACUGGGCGUAAAGGGCUCGUAGGCGGCCAACUAAGUCGGAUGUGAAAUCCCCAGGCUCAACCUGGGAACUGCAUCCGAUACUGGAUGGCUUGAAUUCGGGAGAGGGAUGCAGAAUUCCAGGUGUAGCGGUGAAAUGCGCAGAUAUCAGGAGGAACACCGGUGGCGAAGGCGGGUCUCUGGGCCGUAACUGACGCUGAGGAGCGAAAGCAUGGGGAGCGAACAGG
RNAcentral lists this ribosomal RNA (253 nucleotides) under uncultured bacterium. RNAcentral's name for it is "partial 16S ribosomal RNA". It matches the Rfam family "Bacterial small subunit ribosomal RNA", at positions 524 to 776 of the family's 1533-position model. The record is from RNAcentral.